Molecule: transfer RNA, 57 nt
Filed under: Gnathostoma sp. MMS-2017
Lineage: Eukaryota; Metazoa; Nematoda; Chromadorea; Rhabditida; Gnathostomatidae
Description: tRNA-Cys
Source: RNAcentral
GGGGUUUUAUUAUAAUUGAAGUAUAAUUAAUUGCAGAUUAUUAGGUUUAAAUCCUUG